CCUACGGGUGGCAGCAGUGAGGAAUAUUGGUCAAUGGACGAGAGUCUGAACCAGCCAAGUAGCGUGAAGGAUGACUGCCCUAUGGGUUGUAAACUUCUUUUAUAUGGGAAUAAAACGUUCCACGUGUGGGAUUUUGUAUGUACCAUAUGAAUAAGGAUCGGCUAACUCCGUGCCAGCAGCCGCGGUAAUACGGAGGAUCCGAGCGUUAUCCGGAUUUAUUGGGUGUAAAGGGAGCGUAGGUGGAUUGUUAAGUCAGUUGUGAAAGUUUGCGGCUCAACCGUAAAAUUGCAGUUGAUACUGGCAGUCUUGAGUACAGUAGAGGUGGGCGGAAUUCGUGGUGUAGCGGUGAAAUGCUUAGAUAUCACGAAGAACUCCGAUUGCGAAGGCAGUUCACUGGACUGCAACUGACACUGAGGCUCGAAAGUGUGGGUAUCAAACAGGAUUAGAUACCCCUGUAGUC
Molecule: ribosomal RNA, 460 nt
Filed under: uncultured bacterium
Lineage: Bacteria
Description: partial 16S ribosomal RNA
Rfam family: Bacterial small subunit ribosomal RNA
Source: RNAcentral